GCCGGGGUAGCUCAGGGGCAGAGCAGGGCUUUUGUAAAGCCAAGGUCGGGGGUUCGAAUCCUCUCCUCGGCU
RNAcentral lists this transfer RNA (72 nucleotides) under Candidatus Woesebacteria bacterium. Its description in RNAcentral is "tRNA-Thr". It matches the Rfam family "tRNA". From Rfam's summary of the family: Transfer RNA (tRNA) molecules are approximately 80 nucleotides in length. Their secondary structure includes four short double-helical elements and three loops (D, anti-codon, and T loops). Lineage: Bacteria; Candidatus Woeseibacteriota. The record is from RNAcentral.